UCCCAGGCGAACAAACCAGACAUCGGUGC
RNAcentral lists this non-coding RNA (29 nucleotides) under Rattus norvegicus (Norway rat). Lineage: Eukaryota; Metazoa; Chordata; Mammalia; Rodentia; Muridae. The record is from RNAcentral.